Clupea harengus (Atlantic herring) is the source of this 438-nucleotide long non-coding RNA. Lineage: Eukaryota; Metazoa; Chordata; Actinopteri; Clupeiformes; Clupeidae. The record is from Ensembl.
GGAGGCAGAGAGAGUUAGAGACAGGGAGGGAGAGAGAGAGACGGAGAGAGAGGGAGGUAGAAAGAGUAAGAGAUAGAGAGGUAGGUAGAGAGAGAGAGAGGUAAGGAGAGAGAGAGACAGAGAGAGAGAGGUAAGGAGAGAGAGAGGGAGAGACAGAGAGAGGUAAUUCAUUGAUUUAUGUUACGUAUUGAUUGAUUCUACUAUCCUGAUUCAGAUUGAUGUGUAAAUAAUUUGAUGUCUCAGUGUUUUCACCAUGAAAAAGGUCAGAUUGAGGUCAGAUGCUGAUGAAUGAAAAAGUGUGAAUAGUGUUAACAGUGAUGAGAAAAGUGAGAAAACUGAGGUAAAGCUAUUGGGUUUGUUUGUUUGUUUUGCUGAAGGGAACCAGUUCUAGUGUGUCAGCAAUCAGGACAAACUGUAAAACACAGAGGAGAGAGAGGG